AGACCAGUGCCAGUCUUUCUGGACCCCUCAUUCUUACCAGGGAGACAGCAACCACAUCACACAAUGAAAGAGCAAAUGCUGAAUGGUCCUGCUGGGGUCACAGGCUCACCCCUGAACCAACUGCUAUGAACCCCAGAAGAAGGGAGAUUGGAAUAAAUCUGUAAAAAUCAGUCACUGCUACAGUCCACUCGGGAAAUUAGCCAACAUCACCAGGAGCGAAGACAGUGCCGAUGAGGGGAAAGAGAAGUGUUUCCCUUUGAGCACCGAGUCCUUCCAGAGACUGACCAAAGUGGGGAAAGAGUCGGGGUCUUGGGACACCAAUCUCCAACAUGGGCACUCACACGUAAAGCAGGAAGAAACUUUUGCUUCUUCAUAACCUG
Long non-coding RNA from Ailuropoda melanoleuca (giant panda), 380 nucleotides. RefSeq lists it as uncharacterized. The transcript is spliced from 3 exons. The record is from RefSeq and is a predicted model, not a curated record. NCBI's taxonomy places the organism in Eukaryota, Metazoa, Chordata, Mammalia, Carnivora, Ursidae.